GGGGGGGGGGGGGGGGGGGGGGGGGGGGGGGGGGGGGGGCGGGGGGGCGCUGCGUGCGGGGGGCUGGCGUGGGGGGCGGGGGGGUGGCGCGUGGGUGAUCUGCGCUGCACUUCGGGAUAAGCCUGGGGAACUGGGUCUAGUACCGGGGAGGGGCCAUUUUGAGGGUGGUGGUUGGAAGGUUUUUUCGGUGUCGGCUGAGCUCGCGGGCUCUCAGCUUGUUGGUUGGGUCAGGGCCUACCAAGGCGGCGACGGGUAGCCGGCCUGAGGGGGUGGGCGGCCACAUGGGGACUGAGGGACGGCCGAAGCUCGUACGGGAGGGAGCAGUGGGGAAUAUUGCACAAGGAGCGCAAGCCGGAUGAAGCGACGCCGCGUGGGGGAUGACGGCCUUCGGGUUGUAAACUCCUUGCGCUAGGGACGAAGCUUUUUGUGACGGUACCUAGAGAAGAAGCACCGGCUAACUACGUG
This 465-nucleotide ribosomal RNA is filed under the name uncultured bacterium. Its description in RNAcentral is "partial 16S ribosomal RNA". The stretch from base 49 to 465 matches the Rfam family "Bacterial small subunit ribosomal RNA", at positions 39 to 507 of the family's 1533-position model. The record is from RNAcentral.